This 954-nucleotide ribosomal RNA is filed under the name bacterium RK16_1_tank. RNAcentral describes it as "bacterial SSU rRNA". It matches the Rfam family "Bacterial small subunit ribosomal RNA", at positions 393 to 1356 of the family's 1533-position model. The record is from RNAcentral.
GACGCCGCGUGAGGGAUGACGGCCUUCGGGUUGUAAACCUCUUUCAGUAGGGAAGAAGCGAAAGUGACGGUACCUGCAGAAGAAGCACCGGCUAACUACGUGCCAGCAGCCGCGGUAAUACGUAGGGUGCGAGCGUUAUCCGGAAUUAUUGGGCGUAAAGAGCUCGUAGGCGGUUUGUCGCGUCUGUCGUGAAAGUCCGGGGCUUAACCCCGGAUCUGCGGUGGGUACGGGCAGACUAGAGUGCAGUAGGGGAGACUGGAAUUCCUGGUGUAGCGGUGGAAUGCGCAGAUAUCAGGAGGAACACCGAUGGCGAAGGCAGGUCUCUGGGCUGUAACUGACGCUGAGGAGCGAAAGCAUGGGGAGCGAACAGGAUUAGAUACCCUGGUAGUCCAUGCCGUAAACGUUGGGCACUAGGUGUGGGGACCAUUCCACGGUUUCCGCGCCGCAGCUAACGCAUUAAGUGCCCCGCCUGGGGAGUACGGCCGCAAGGCUAAAACUCAAAGGAAUUGACGGGGGCCCGCACAAGCGGCGGAGCAUGCGGAUUAAUUCGAUGCAACGCGAAGAACCUUACCAAGGCUUGACAUGUUCUCGAUCGCCGUAGAGAUACGGUUUCCCCUUUGGGGCGGGUUCACAGGUGGUGCAUGGUUGUCGUCAGCUCGUGUCGUGAGAUGUUGGGUUAAGUCCCGCAACGAGCGCAACCCUCGUUCCAUGUUGCCAGCACGUAAUGGUGGGGACUCAUGGGAGACUGCCGGGGUCAACUCGGAGGAAGGUGAGGACGACGUCAAAUCAUCAUGCCCCUUAUGUCUUGGGCUUCACGCAUGCUACAAUGGCCGGUACAAUGGGUUGCGAUACUGUGAGGUGGAGCUAAUCCCAAAAAGCCGGUCUCAGUUCGGAUUGGGGUCUGCAACUCGACCCCAUGAAGUCGGAGUCGCUAGUAAUCGCAGAUCAGCAUCG